UACGUAGGGUGCAAGCGUUAAUCGGAAUUACUGGGCGUAAAGCGUGCGCAGGCGGUUUUGUAAGUCUGUCGUGAAAGCCCCGGGCUCAACCUGGGAAUUGCGAUGGAGACUGCAAGGCUUGAAUCUGGCAGAGGGGGGUAGAAUUCCACGUGUAGCAGUGAAAUGCGUAGAGACGUGGAGGAACACCGAUGGCGAAGGCAGCCCCCUGGGUCAAGAUUGACGCUCAUGCACGAAAGCGUGGGGAGCAAACAGG
RNAcentral lists this ribosomal RNA (253 nucleotides) under uncultured bacterium. RNAcentral's name for it is "partial 16S ribosomal RNA". It matches the Rfam family "Bacterial small subunit ribosomal RNA", at positions 524 to 776 of the family's 1533-position model. The record is from RNAcentral.